UUCUAGAUGCUUGAACCGUUGCUCGAUU
RNAcentral lists this small RNA (28 nucleotides) under Bombyx mori (domestic silkworm). RNAcentral's name for it is "piRNA piR-bmo-1747787". The record is from RNAcentral. Lineage: Eukaryota; Metazoa; Arthropoda; Insecta; Lepidoptera; Bombycidae.